GGCAUAUCCUGUCAGGAUUUUUUUCACGUUCCGUCGACGUCCUCGUCGCCACAACCGCCCUGCCUUCACCAGCCUGUUGCAAGUUACCGGCGCACUGAUGAUGUUACUGCUUAUUGGCAUUACAUAACAGACAAACUCGAGGGUGAACGACACGUCCAAGCAGAAGACCGUGAAUCGACAGCGAGUCAUUGAAAUAUCGACAUAUUUUUAUAACGUCGUCGCUGCGACCAUCGCACUGGGAUUUAGUCCUGUUUGUUUGUUACUGCGCGUUACACGUACGCAACCGGCAGGCGCACUUGAGCCUAUCAUAUAUUUAAUUAUAUAUAUGCUUCUGAUUAUAAACCUGAAAUGAUA
Cephus cinctus (wheat stem sawfly) is the source of this 354-nucleotide long non-coding RNA. RefSeq lists it as uncharacterized. The transcript has 2 exons. The record is from RefSeq and is a predicted model, not a curated record. NCBI's taxonomy places the organism in Eukaryota, Metazoa, Arthropoda, Insecta, Hymenoptera, Cephidae.